ACACCUCAACUCUCAUGGCUUGCCAUGAUGAGCUUGGACUUUGGGGGUCUUGCUGGCCUGCGGUCGGCUCCUCUCAAAUGAAUCAGCUUUCCAGUGUCUGGUGGCAUCACGGGUGUGAUAAACAUCUACGCUCGUGGUCCUCCACCAUGUAACCUUCAGUGAUGGAGGUUUGCUGGAGCUCACAAAUGUCUUCCCUCGGUGAAGACGCCCCUUUGAUU
RNAcentral lists this unclassified non-coding RNA (218 nucleotides) under uncultured Tomentella. RNAcentral's name for it is "sequence contains ITS2". Lineage: Eukaryota; Fungi; Basidiomycota; Agaricomycetes; Thelephorales; Thelephoraceae. The record is from RNAcentral.